GUACCUGUAGCGCAAUAGAUAGCGCGUUGGACUUCUAAUCCAAAGGUCAUAGGUUCAAAUCCUACCUGGGAUG
RNAcentral lists this transfer RNA (73 nucleotides) under Trichonephila inaurata madagascariensis. It matches the Rfam family "tRNA". From Rfam's summary of the family: Transfer RNA (tRNA) molecules are approximately 80 nucleotides in length. Their secondary structure includes four short double-helical elements and three loops (D, anti-codon, and T loops). The record is from Rfam by way of RNAcentral. Lineage: Eukaryota; Metazoa; Arthropoda; Arachnida; Araneae; Nephilidae.